Molecule: ribosomal RNA, 782 nt
Filed under: uncultured bacterium
Lineage: Bacteria
Description: partial 16S ribosomal RNA
Source: RNAcentral
GUAUCUAAUCCUGUUCGCUACCCACGCUUUCGCACCUCAGUGUCAGUACAGAUCCAGGAGGCUGCCUUCGCCAUUGGUAUUCUUCACAAUAUCUACGCAUUCCACCGCUACACUGUGAAUUCUACCUCCCUCUAUCGUACUCUAGUGAAUCAGUUUUGGAUGCAGUUCCCAGGUUGAGCCCGGGGAUUUCACAUCCAACUUAAUAAACCACCUACGCGCGCUUUACGCCCAGUAAUUCCGAUUAACGCUUGGACCUUCCGUAUUACCGCGGCUGCUGGCACGGAAUUAGCCGGUCCUUAUUCUGAUGGUAAUGUCACGGUUAUUGGGUAUUAGCCAAUAACUUUUCUUCCCAACUUAAAGUGCUUUACAACCCUAAGGCCUUCUUCACACACGCGGUAUGGCUGGAUCAGGCUUUCGCCCAUUGUCCAAUAUUCCCCACUGCUGCCUCCCGUAGGAGUCUGGGCCGUGUCUCAGUCCCAAUGUGGCGGAUCGUCCUCUCAGACCCGCUAAAGAUCGUAGCCUUGGUGAGCCUUUACCUCACCAACAAGCUAAUCUUACGCAGGCUCAUCUAGUAGCGAAAGCUUCAAAGAGAGGCCUUCUUUCUCCCGAAGGAGGUAUACGGUAUUAAUCCGAGUUUCCUCGGGCUAUCCCCUUCUACUAGGUAGAUUCCUACGCGUUACUCACCCGUCCGCCGCUCUACUCAUAUCCGAAGAUACUUUCUCGCACGACUUGCAUGUGUUAAGCCUACCGCCAGCGUUCAAUCUGAGCCAGGAUCAAACUCU